Molecule: ribosomal RNA, 254 nt
Filed under: uncultured bacterium
Lineage: Bacteria
Description: partial 16S ribosomal RNA
Rfam family: Bacterial small subunit ribosomal RNA
Source: RNAcentral
GCAAGUCGAGCGGAAACGAUGGGAGCUUGCUCCCAGGCGUCGAGCGGCGGACGGGUGAGUAACGCGUAGGAAUCUACCCAGUAGUGGGGGAUAGCCCGGGGAAACUCGGAUUAAUACCGCAUACGCCCUACGGGGGAAAGGCCGGGAUCUCUUCGGAGACCGGUCACUAUUGGAGGAGCCUGCGUUGGAUUAGCUAGUUGGUGAGGUAAAGGCUCACCAAGGCUACGAUCCAUAGCUGUUCUGAGAGGAAGAUC